CCCCUCUCAGGAUUGCACCUGGAGAGUUUCCAGUACUCUACCAGUCUCAGCUAAGGGAGAGAGAGUCAAGUAGGGGCAUAGCCAUUCCAUUCCUAGCUUUGGCAGUGGCUAGUGAGCGGAAGGCCAUCUGCUACAAGU
This is a small nucleolar RNA of Ornithorhynchus anatinus (platypus), 138 nucleotides long. Lineage: Eukaryota; Metazoa; Chordata; Mammalia; Monotremata; Ornithorhynchidae. The record is from RefSeq and is a predicted model, not a curated record.